UACAGAGGGGACAAGCGUUGUUCGGAAUUACUGGGCGUAAAGGGCGCGUAGGCGGUUCGUUAAGUCCUGUGUGAAAUCCCCCGGCUCAACUGGGGAACUGCACAGGAAACUAGCGGGCUUGAGUUCGGGAGAGGGAAGCGGAAUUCCGGGUGUAGCGGUGAAAUGCGUAGAUAUCCGGAGGAACACCGGUGGCGAAGGCGGCUUCCUGGACCGACACUGACGCUGAGGCGCGAAAGCUAGGGGAGCAAACGGG
RNAcentral lists this ribosomal RNA (253 nucleotides) under uncultured bacterium. Its description in RNAcentral is "partial 16S ribosomal RNA". It matches the Rfam family "Bacterial small subunit ribosomal RNA", at positions 524 to 776 of the family's 1533-position model. The record is from RNAcentral.